This 88-nucleotide transfer RNA is filed under the name Chloroflexota bacterium. RNAcentral's name for it is "Chloroflexi bacterium tRNA-Leu". It matches the Rfam family "tRNA". Rfam says of the family: Transfer RNA (tRNA) molecules are approximately 80 nucleotides in length. Their secondary structure includes four short double-helical elements and three loops (D, anti-codon, and T loops). The record is from RNAcentral. Lineage: Bacteria; Bacillati; Chloroflexota.
GCCCAGGUGGUGGAACCGGCAGACACGCUGUCUUGAGGGGGCAGUGCCUUUUAUAGGCGUGUGAGUUCAAAUCUCACCCUGGGCACCA